Molecule: ribosomal RNA, 495 nt
Filed under: uncultured bacterium
Lineage: Bacteria
Description: partial 16S ribosomal RNA
Rfam family: Bacterial small subunit ribosomal RNA
Source: RNAcentral
GACGAACGCUGGCGGCGUGCCUAAUACAUGCAAGUAGAACGCUGAAGGAGGAGCUUGCUCUUCUGGAUGAGUUGCGAACGGGUGAGUAACGCGUAGGUAACCUGCCUGGUAGCGGGGGAUAACUAUUGGAAACGAUAGCUAAUACCGCAUAACAGUAGAUGUUGCAUGACAUUUACUUAAAAGGUGCAAUUGCAUCACUACCAGAUGGACCUGCGUUGUAUUAGCUAGUUGGUGGGGUAACGGCUCACCAAGGCGACGAUACAUAGCCGACCUGAGAGGGAGAUCGGCCACACUGGGACUGAGACACGGCCCAGACUCCUACGGGAGGCAGCAGUAGGGAAUCUUCGGCAAUGGACGGAAGUCUGACCGAGCAACGCCGCGUGAGUGAAGAAGGUUUUCGGAUCGUAAAGCUCUGUUGUAAGAGAAGAACGAGUGUGAGAGUGGAAAGUUCACACUGUGACGGUAUCUUACCAGAAAGGGACGGCUAACUACGUG